Molecule: ribosomal RNA, 414 nt
Filed under: uncultured bacterium
Lineage: Bacteria
Description: bacterial SSU rRNA
Rfam family: Bacterial small subunit ribosomal RNA
Source: RNAcentral
UCAGGCCUAACACAUGCAAGUCGAACGAUGAAGCUGGAGCUUGCUCCGGUGGAUUAGUGGCGAACGGGUGAGUAACACGUGAGCAAUCUGCCCUUGACUCUGGGAUAACUCCGAGAAAUCGGUGCCAAUACCGGAUAUGACCUUGGAAGGCAUCUUCUGAGGUGGAAAGUUUUUCGGUCAAGGAUGAGCUCGCGGCCUAUCAGCUUGUUGGUGAGGUAACGGCUCACCAAGGCAACGACGGGUAGCCGGCCUGAGAGGGUGACCGGCCACACUGGGACUGAGACACGGCCCAGACUCCUACGGGAAGCAGCAGUGGGGAAUAUUGCACAAUGAGGGAAAGCCUGAUGCAGCAACGCCGCGUGAGGGACGAAAACGUUCGGGUUGUAAACCUCUUUUAGUAGGGAAGAAGCGCAA